RNAcentral lists this ribosomal RNA (448 nucleotides) under uncultured bacterium. RNAcentral's name for it is "bacterial SSU rRNA". It matches the Rfam family "Bacterial small subunit ribosomal RNA", at positions 335 to 799 of the family's 1533-position model. The record is from RNAcentral.
ACUCCUACGGGAGGCAGCAGUGGGGAAUAUUGCACAAUGGGCGCAAGCCUGAUGCAGCAACGCCGCGUGAGUGAUGAAGGCCUUCGGGUCGUAAAGCUCUGUCCUCAAGGAAGAAUAAAUGACGGUACUUGAGGAGGAAGCCCCGGCUAACUACGUGCCAGCAGCCGCGGUAAUACGUAGGGGGCAAGCGUUAUCCGGAAUCACUGGGCGUAAAGGGUGCGUAGGCGGUUUUUCAAGUCAGAAGUGAAAGGCUAUGGCUCAACCAUAGUAAGCUUUUGAAACUGUUAAACUUGAGUGCAGGAGAGGAAAGUGGAAUUCCUAGUGUAGAGGUGAAAUUCGUAGAUAUUAGGAGGAACACCAGUGGCGAAGGCGACUUUCUGGACUGUAACUGACGCUGAGGCACGAAAGCGUGGGGAGCGAACAGGAUUAGAUACCCUGUAGCACAGAG